RNAcentral lists this ribosomal RNA (253 nucleotides) under uncultured bacterium. RNAcentral describes it as "partial 16S ribosomal RNA". It matches the Rfam family "Bacterial small subunit ribosomal RNA", at positions 524 to 776 of the family's 1533-position model. The record is from RNAcentral.
UACAGAGGUCUCAAGCGUUGUUCGGAUUCAUUGGGCGUAAAGGGCGCGUAGGCGGCGGGGCAAGUCGGGUGUGAAAUCUCAGGGCUCAACCCUGAAACUGCACUCGAUACUGCUCUGCUUGAGGACUGGAGAGGAGACUGGAAUUCACGGUGUAGCAGUGAAAUGCGUAGAUAUCGUGAGGAAGACCAGUGGCGAAGGCGGGUCUCUGGACAGUCCCUGACGCUGAGGCGCGAAGGCCAGGGGAGCAAACGGG